This 862-nucleotide ribosomal RNA is filed under the name Livia caricis. RNAcentral describes it as "partial small subunit ribosomal RNA". The record is from RNAcentral. Lineage: Eukaryota; Metazoa; Arthropoda; Insecta; Hemiptera; Liviidae.
UGUUAGGUCAAGGUGCAGUUUUUAAAAGUAAAAAAUGGGUUACAAUAUAAAUUAUGAAUGAAUUUUAAUUAUUAAUAUUAAAUGAAAAAGAAUUUAAAAGUAAAUUUGUUAUAAGUAACAUAAUGAAUAAAGAUUCUGAAAUAUGUACACAUCGCCCGUCGCUCUUAUUUAAGGUAAGAUAAGUCGUAACAUAGUAGGUGUACCGGAAGGUGUACCUGGAUUUAAGUAAAUAGCUUAAAUUCAAAGUUUAUUAUUUACACUAAUGAGAUAUUUUAUAAUUUUACUUUUGAUUUAAAUUUAUUACAGAAGAAAGUUAAUAAAUUAAAUAGUAUAUUACUGCGAGGGGGGAGCCUCGCAAUUAAUAUUACUAAAAGAUUUAUUAAUUGUACCUUUUGUAUCAGGGAUAAUUUAAAUUUGUUUUCUAGUAAAGGUUCUCGAAAAAAAAAGAUCUAGAAGGGAAAGGAGUUACUGUUUAAUAAUUAAAUCAAAUUUUCUUCUUGGUUUGAGAUAAAAUUCAAUUUUUUAUAUCUAGUUUCUUUAAUUUUAAAUUUAAUUUAAUAAAUUUUCGUUUUAUGUAAAAUUUAAAAUAGCUAUAAGGAUAAUCUUUUAGUUAAUAUUAUAGAACAUAAAUUUAUAUUUGAUUAUUAGACUUAAAAUUGGUUUAAACUUAUUAAUAUGUUAAAAUAAAUCAUAGUUAUAAUUAAAAUUUUAUUGUUUUCUUUAAGGGGAGUUAAAGAUAUAUAAUUAAAUAAUUUUGUUAUAAAAAAUAUGAUUGAAUUAGUAGAAUAUAAAAAUAUAUGUUAAGAAUUAGGCAAAUAUGAGUUUCGCCUGUUUAACAAAAACAUCUUUGUAASAAAUUUGU